This 235-nucleotide ribosomal RNA is filed under the name uncultured bacterium. Its description in RNAcentral is "partial 16S ribosomal RNA". It matches the Rfam family "Bacterial small subunit ribosomal RNA", at positions 118 to 351 of the family's 1533-position model. The record is from RNAcentral.
UGAGGAACAUGACCUUCGGCGGGGGAGUAGCCGGCCCAACGGCCGGGUAAUACCGCGUACGACCACUUGGGACAUCCCUAGGUGGUGAAAGCAGCAAUGCGCCGAUGGAGUGCCUCGCGGCCUAUCAGCUAGUUGGUGAGGUAACGGCUCACCAAGGCGACGACGGGUAGCUGGUCUGAGAGGAUGGCCAGCCACAUUGGGACUGAGACACGGCCCAGACUCCUACGGGAGGCAG